GCCUGUUUAUCAAAAACAUGGCCUUAUGUUUAAAAAGUUGUAUAUAUAAGGUCUUACCUGCUCGCUGAUAAGUUUUAUUAAAGGGCUGCAGUAUAUUUAACUGUACAAAGGUAGCGUAGUAAUUUGUUUAUUAAUUGUUGACUUGUAUGAAUGGUUUGACGUGAUACUGACUGUCUUCUGGCAUAAUUAUUGUUGAAAUUUACUUUUUAGUGAACGAGGCUAAAUGUUUCCAAGGGACGAAAAGACCCUAUAGAUUUUUAGUUGUAUUUUAAUGUUAAUGAAUUUAUGUUUAGUUUUUGUUGUUAUUUUAUACUUUUUUGCUGGGGCGGCUGUUGAAGAUAAGAAUCUUCAGUUUUUGUUGUUGCAAUUAAUUGUUGUUUGUUGAUCCUGUAUUUAUGGAUAAUAAGAUAAAAAUACCUUAGGGAUAACAGCGUUAUUUUCUUUGAGAGUUCUUAUCGACAGGAAAGUUUGCGACCUCGAUGUUGAAUUAGAAUAAGGGUUAUGAUGUAGGAGUCUAAUUUUGUGGUCUGUUCGACCGUUUAAAAGUAAUAUUCUACGUGAUCUGAGUUCAGACCGG
This 577-nucleotide ribosomal RNA is filed under the name Speleonectes sp. n. 4 MH-2013. RNAcentral's name for it is "partial large subunit ribosomal RNA". It matches the Rfam family "Bacterial large subunit ribosomal RNA", at positions 1798 to 2619 of the family's 2925-position model. Lineage: Eukaryota; Metazoa; Arthropoda; Remipedia; Nectiopoda; Speleonectidae. The record is from RNAcentral.